Molecule: ribosomal RNA, 496 nt
Filed under: uncultured bacterium
Lineage: Bacteria
Description: partial 16S ribosomal RNA
Rfam family: Bacterial small subunit ribosomal RNA
Source: RNAcentral
AUGAACGCUGGCGGCGUGCCUAAUACAUGCACGUCGAGCGAACAGAUAAGGAGCUUGCUCCUUUGACGUUAGCGGCGGACGGGUGAGUAACACGUGGGUAACCUACCUAUAAGACUGGAAUAACUCCGGGAAACCGGGGCUAAUGCCGGAUAACAUUUAGAACCGCAUGGUUCUAAAGUGAAAGAUGGUUUUGCUAUCACUUAUAGAUGGACCCGCGCCGUAUUAGCUAGUUGGUAAGGUAACGGCUUACCAAGGCAACGAUACGUAGCCGACCUGAGAGGGUGAUCGGCCACACUGGAACUGAGACACGGUCCAGACUCCUACGGGAGGCAGCAGUAGGGAAUCUUCCGCAAUGGGCGAAAGCCUGACGGAGCAACGCCGCGUGAGUGAUGAAGGUCUUCGGAUCGUAAAACUCUGUUAUUAGGGAAGAACAAAUGUGUAAGUAACUGUGCACGUCUUGACGGUACCUAAUCAGAAAGCCACGGCUAACUACGUG